This 72-nucleotide transfer RNA is filed under the name Gemmatimonadota bacterium. RNAcentral describes it as "Gemmatimonadetes bacterium (freshwater metagenome) tRNA-Thr". It matches the Rfam family "tRNA". From Rfam's summary of the family: Transfer RNA (tRNA) molecules are approximately 80 nucleotides in length. The record is from RNAcentral. RNAcentral also lists the same sequence under 2 other names. Lineage: Bacteria; Pseudomonadati; Gemmatimonadota.
GCUCCGAUAGCUCAGCGGUAGAGCGCUUCCUUGGUAAGGAAGAGGUCCCGGGUUCAAUCCCCGGUCGGAGCU